RNAcentral lists this ribosomal RNA (491 nucleotides) under uncultured bacterium. Its description in RNAcentral is "partial 16S ribosomal RNA". The stretch from base 59 to 491 matches the Rfam family "Bacterial small subunit ribosomal RNA", at positions 39 to 507 of the family's 1533-position model. The record is from RNAcentral.
GGGGGGGGGGGGGGGGGGGGGGGGGGGGGGGGGGGGGGGGGGGGGGGGGUGAGGGGGUGCGGUGCGGGGGGGCGAGGGGCGGGCGGGGGGGGGAUACGUCGGAAUCGAGUCUUGCGGGGGGGGGGAAGGAGGGGAACUUACGCUUAUAGCGCAUCCGACCUACGGGUGGGAGCAGGGGGUCUUCGGACCUAGCGCGAUUGAAUGAGCCGAUGUCGGAUUAGCUCGUAGGCGGGGUUAAGGCACACCAAGGCGACGCUCCGUAGCUGGUCUGAGAGGAGGAUCAGCCACACUGGAACUGAGACACGGUCCAGACUCCUACGGGAGGCAGCAGUGGGGAAUAUUGGACAAUGGGUGCAAGCCUGAUCCAGCCAUACCGCGUGGGUGAAGAAGGCCUUCGGGUUGUAAAGCCCUUUUGUUGGGAAAGAAAAGCAGCAGGUUAAUACCCCGCUGUUCUGACGGUACCCAAAGAAUAAGCACCGGCUAACUUCGUG